UCCCAUUCGAGAAGGAGAAGCAGAAGAGGAGGCCCAAUGGUUCGCUCCCCUCGGUUUGUUCGCCGCUAGACCUUCUUGAUCUGAACCAAUCUUCGUACGGUGCUACUGUAGGGUUUCGAUCUCUCUGUUUCCAAGGCGCGAGAACGCGGGAGAUGGAUCUUGGGUCGAAGAAGAGGAUUUUACAAGAGGGAGAGCAGACGGUACAGUGGAAGGGGAAAGAAGCCGUGGGUUUCUGUAGCAAUGGAUAUUGCCUUUGACCCAUCAUGAAUCCCAUCUGACAACAUAACAAUCCGCAUUUCAAUCUUUAUUUAUCAGCACUAACCAGUGCUUCUCAUUUGCAGUCAACCCAAGAGCAUGCAGCUCCGCACUUUGCACUUGCCGUCAUGCUCGGCAGUCGCUGGGGCAUCGACCACGUCGUCAAAAUAGCUGAUGAAAUGACAGCAAGAAAAGGUCAGGAGUUAAAUCUGCUUUAGACCUUAUUUUAAUUAGCACUGACUGCAAACGAAGACAUAAACCCAAAGUAUGAUGAAAUUUCUCAUUUCUUGGCUUACAAGAGCAAGAAGAGGAUUCAUCAAAAGGUUUUAUGUGCCAUACAUCGUCGUCUCCUGCUGGUUAUCCUUGGCAAUCUUGAAAUAGAUUAAUAUUCAUCUAAAUAAUGGAAUUCAUGCACUCCUGAAAGCUUUCAGGUAGAUAUUCUGAUUAUCACACAGGUCAAACGAUUUAAUCUUAAAAUUGGUGUAUUUUGUUUGUUA
This is a long non-coding RNA of Musa acuminata AAA Group (dessert banana), 752 nucleotides long. RefSeq lists it as uncharacterized. The record is from RefSeq and is a predicted model, not a curated record. NCBI's taxonomy places the organism in Eukaryota, Viridiplantae, Streptophyta, Magnoliopsida, Zingiberales, Musaceae. The transcript has 2 exons.